UUGACAGUUUGGCUUCCCUGUUCUGGGUGGCAAAGCCUGUGGAGUACUCACCUACCUGCUGCAUGAAGGCAGCAUGGAGGGACUGUGGUGGAUUAUCUGCAAAGAUGGCCAAAAUUCUCUCAUCCCUGCAGGCACAUACAAGCCAGGUUUCCAGAAGUUCCCCAGUCAUUGAGCAUUUCUGAGGCUCUUGAUGCAUAUGCCAAGUAGUUAUGGAGAAAGACACAGCAGCUUACCUCUGCAGGCAUCAUUGUGUGAAAGGAAGACCCAGGCUCUCUCACCACCCUUGAACAGAAGCCUUUUGCUAAGGAGUUUGCAGUUCACCCGCAAACCUCAGCGAUCCAAGCUCCCCUGGAUGACCAUCACUCACCAAGAAAAGAGCAAUAACAGGACCUGUUUUGCUAAUCCAGGACUGUUCUCCAGCACUAACUCUAAAUAAUCCCUUCUGCUAGAGUCCACUUUCUGGAACCUGUUGCCUCCGUUUUCAACGUUUCCCAAACUUGGUCCGUUGUGUGAGCUGGCUGAUAAAAGUUCCAGGGAGAAGACAUCUUACUCUUAUUGGAUCAUGCACAGUGCCUGAAGCAUUCUGUUGCAUGUAGAAGUCAGUAAAUUGCAGAUGUAAGAUUCAAAACCAGACUUCACAUCUACCGACUUCAGUGACCCUGAAAUUUGUUCACAGAGAGCAUUUAACAUAACUGUCUUCAUCAUCUCCUUCUCUACAUUAAAAAUUAUGGAAAAGUUGCUAAAACUGCUGUGAGAUUCUGGCUAAGAAAGUUUCAUGAGAAGUUUUACAGAAAAAUGUGAACGGAAGACAGAACUAGAUAUAAAUUUGAAUGGUAAUCUAAAUAAA
Molecule: long non-coding RNA, 847 nt
Filed under: Homo sapiens (human)
Lineage: Eukaryota; Metazoa; Chordata; Mammalia; Primates; Hominidae
Description: long intergenic non-protein coding RNA 3156
Source: RNAcentral